RNAcentral lists this ribosomal RNA (468 nucleotides) under uncultured bacterium. RNAcentral's name for it is "partial 16S ribosomal RNA". It matches the Rfam family "Bacterial small subunit ribosomal RNA", at positions 28 to 507 of the family's 1533-position model. The record is from RNAcentral.
GACGAACGCUGGCGGCGUGCUUAACACAUGCAAGUCGAACGGAAAGGCCCUGCUUUUGUGGGGUGCUCGAGUGGCGAACGGGUGAGUAACACGUGAGUAACCUGCCCUUGACUUUGGGAUAACUUCAGGAAACUGGGGCUAAUACCGGAUAGGAGCUCCUGCUGCAUGGUGGGGGUUGGAAAGUUUCGGCGGUUGGGGAUGGACUCGCGGCUUAUCCGCUUGUUGGUGGGGUAGUGGCUUACCAAGGCUUAGACGGGUAGCCGGCCUGAGAGGGUGACCGGCGACAUGGGGACUGAGAUACGGCGCAGACGCCUACGGGAGGCAGCAGUGGGGAAUAUUGCGCAGUGGGCGGAAGCCUGAUGCAGCAACGCCGCGUGCGGGAUGACGGCCUUCGGGUUGUAAACCGCUUUCGCCGGUGACGAAGCGGGAGUGACGGUAAUGGGUAAAGAAGCACCGGCUAACUACGUG